This is a long non-coding RNA of Pecten maximus, 255 nucleotides long. RefSeq lists it as uncharacterized. The record is from RefSeq and is a predicted model, not a curated record. The transcript is spliced from 2 exons. Lineage: Eukaryota; Metazoa; Mollusca; Bivalvia; Pectinida; Pectinidae.
GGAUCCGAUCGCUGGGGAUAAUGACGCAUGGAAUCGUGAUAUAUACGGAAGUGACGUGUACCGACAUGGAGACAGAAGGUGGAGAAACAGGAGAAUAGACAGAUAUUGAUGUAGAGGCCAUGAAGUGUGGAAAAGAUCCAUGUGGCCAAAGAUUGAAAUUGAAAAAUCCAUUUAAAAGUGAAUUCUUUCAUUGUUACACUCAUUUGUAAAUUCAUAUGCGCCCAUGUAAAUAAACUCAUAUUCAAUAUAAACAUA